Molecule: ribosomal RNA, 465 nt
Filed under: uncultured Klebsiella sp.
Lineage: Bacteria; Pseudomonadati; Pseudomonadota; Gammaproteobacteria; Enterobacterales; Enterobacteriaceae
Description: bacterial SSU rRNA
Rfam family: Bacterial small subunit ribosomal RNA
Source: RNAcentral
CCUACGGGUGGCUGCAGUGGGGAAUAUUGCACAAUGGGCGCAAGCCUGAUGCAGCCAUGCCGCGUGUGUGGAGAAGGCCUUCGGGUUGUAAAGCACUUUCAGCGGGGAGGAAGGCGGUGAGGUUAAUAACCUCAUCGAUUGACGUUACCCGCAGAAGAAGCACCGGCUAACUCCGUGCCAGCAGCCGCGGUAAUACGGAGGGUGCAAGCGUUAAUCGGAAUUACUAGGCGUAAAGCGCACGCAGGCGGUCUGUCAAGUCGGAUGUGAAAUCCCCGGGCUCAACCUGGGAACUGCAUUCGAAACUGGCAGGCUAGAGUCUUGUAGAGGGGGGUAGAAUUCCAGGUGUAGCGGUGAAAUGCGUAGAGAUCUGGAGGAAUACCGGUGGCGAAGGCGGCCCCCUGGACAAAGACUGACGCUCAGGUGCGAAAGCGUGGGGAGCAAACAGGAUUAGAUACCCCUGUAGUC